RNAcentral lists this ribosomal RNA (300 nucleotides) under uncultured archaeon. Its description in RNAcentral is "partial 16S ribosomal RNA". It matches the Rfam family "Bacterial small subunit ribosomal RNA", at positions 496 to 795 of the family's 1533-position model. The record is from RNAcentral.
GAGAACUACGGGCCAGCAGGCGGUGGAAUACGUAGUGUGCCAGCGUGAUCCGUGAUGAUGGGGCGGAAAGCGCGCGCAGGUGGUUUCUGAAGUCGGAGGGGAAAGCCCACGGCUCAACCGGGGAGGGUCAUGGGAAACUGGGGGACGUGAGUGCAGAAGAGGAAAGUGGAAUUCCAUGGGUAGCGGUGAAAUGCGGAGAGAUAUGGAGGAACACCAGUGGCGAAGGCGACUUUCUGGUCUGUAACUGACACUGAGGCGCGAAAGCGUGGGGAGCAAACAGGAUUAGAUACCCGUGUAGUC